RNAcentral lists this long non-coding RNA (743 nucleotides) under Homo sapiens (human). RNAcentral describes it as "HSALNT0298151". The record is from RNAcentral. Lineage: Eukaryota; Metazoa; Chordata; Mammalia; Primates; Hominidae.
CCUCACAUGAGUCAUUCCAGAGUUCCCUUGCUGGUCAGUGGGAACAUUCUAGUGUGUGACAUCUCCCUGGCAACAAGCUGAGUUCCUGGAAAACAACAAUCACAGAGAGACAGUCCACCACCUCUACCCUCUUAACUCUUCCUUAGAAAUCCUACUGUCUGCAGCUGGGAAUGAAUGGAAUGAAGGAUCUCACUCUGUUACCCAGGGUGGAGUGCAGGGGCAUGAACACGGAUCACUGCAGCUUCGACUUCCUGGCUCAAGCAAUCCUUCCACUUCCUGGCUCAAGCAAUCCUUCCACCUCAGCCUCCUAGUAACUGCAUCCUGGGCAAUAUCCCCAGCUGAAAGAUUACGCUUCCCAGCCUUCCUUGCAGCUAGACGUAGCCAUAUGACAAAAUGACGCCCAAUGAAGCAUACAUAGAAAAGUCAUGUGAGACUUCUGGAAAAGCUUCUGUAAAAGUGAGGAGCAGACACCCUUUUCUUUUUCUUCUCCUUUCUCUUGCUGUUGGCCUGGAAUGUGGACCUGAUGGAUGGAGCUCUGGCAAUCAUCUUGGAGUAUGAAGUGACCUUAAGGAUGAACAGAAAAGAAAAUGAGCCUGGGCCUUUAAUGACACAGUGGAGCUGCUCCCAGCUUGGCUACCUUCCUCUUAGUCUGCUUUUAUAAGAAAAUAUAUAUAUAUCUUGUUUAAGCACAAAUAUUUUGAGUUUUUCUGCUGUUUGUUGCUAAAAGUAAUUCUAAUUGUUCC